Molecule: ribosomal RNA, 440 nt
Filed under: uncultured bacterium
Lineage: Bacteria
Description: bacterial SSU rRNA
Rfam family: Bacterial small subunit ribosomal RNA
Source: RNAcentral
UUGGCGGACGGGUGAGUAAUACUUAGGAAUCUGCCUAUUAAUGGGGGACAACAUCUCGAAAGGGAUGCUAGUACCGCAUACGCCCUACGGGGGAAAGCAGGGGACCACUUGUGACCUUGCGUUAAUAGAUGAGCCUAAGUCGGAUUAGCUAGUUGGUGGGGUAAAGGCCUACCAAGGCGACGAUCUGUAGCGGGUCUGAGAGGAUGAUCCGCCACACUGGGACUGAGACACGGCCCAGACUCCUACGGGAGGCAGCAGUGGGGGAUAUUGGACAAUGGGGGGAACCCUGAUCCAGCCAUGCCGCGUGUGUGAAGAAGGCCUUAUGGUUGUAAAGCACUUUAAGCGAGGAGGAGGCUCUUUUGGUUAAUACCCAAGAUGAGUGGACGUUACUCGCAGAAUAAGCACCGGCCAACUCUGUGCCAGCAGCCGCGGUAAUACGA